This is a long non-coding RNA of Piliocolobus tephrosceles (Ugandan red Colobus), 2332 nucleotides long. The record is from Ensembl. NCBI's taxonomy places the organism in Eukaryota, Metazoa, Chordata, Mammalia, Primates, Cercopithecidae.
CAAAUACGUGCUACUACUAAUUAUAUACAUAUAUAAUAUAUGUUCACCUACUUAAAUUAUAAGGAAAUAUAUUUUUGAAAGGAUGUGCAAAAUGUUAUAAGAAAUUGUUACCCAUCUUUAUUUUUAUAAGGGGUAAAGUACAUAAUAAACACAAAACUUUUAUUUUAUUUUAUUUUUUGUUAAAGAGUAUGAAUGAACGAAUAUUAAAAAAUAUUUGGAGGUAUGAGUCAUCGUGUUUAUUAAUUAAUAAAAAUAAUAACUUGGGCUUUUUUACUUCGGUAAAAAUAUCACAUUGUAAUGGUUUAUUAUUGCAAGAGAAAAAAAAAUAUCUUUUAAGCGUUAGUAAUGGAAACAGUGUUAACAAUGUGAGUAACCCCAUACAACAUAGUAGUAGUAGUAGUAGUAGCACAAUCCAGGCAUGCCAAAACACAACACAACAUACUAACAGCAUAAUACAUAUACAUAAUAAAGAAACACAACCUGGGUUUGUUCAGUUUUUGGAAUUCGAAAAUGCUAACAAAAAAGGUACUUAUAAAAAUGAUAAGCAUGUUAUAAAUGGUCAAUUAAUAUAUACUACAUUUUUUUUUUUUCAUAAAGAUAAUAUAAUUUUAUAUGCACACGGUAAUAAUAAAAGUUUGAAUUUUAAACAUAUAAAGAACUAUUCAACUAUAAAAUGUUCUAAUGUUAUAAAAGAAUAUGUAAAUACAGAAAAGCAAGAAGAGCUAGUUAAUAAACAAAACAAUAUGAUAAAUAAUUUUAAUCGAAAUGAAGAAAUAAAAAAAAAAAAAUAUAUAUGCAUGGAAAAAGUUCAUGAAACAAUUGAUUAUUCACAAAUUUUUGAGUUAAACCACGAGAGACAUAAUAAUAUAGGUCGAAAAAGGUCAUAUUUUGAAGGGGAUAAUAAAGAUGAAAAAGUCACCAACACUACUAAUAAUAUAAAUCCAAAUAUAUGUAAUAGUAUAGAUAGUAGUAUAUAUAAAAAUAUAGGAACUAGUACAGGAGUUAAUAAUAGUCCUUACGAUAACAAUAAGAUUAAUGAUGUUUUUAAAGUAGUUAAUGAAAAUAAUAAAAACGAUUCUUAUAAGGCAAAGGUUAGUAGUAUAGUAGAACAUAAAGUAGAAGGAGAAGAAAAAAGAGAAUUACGUAGUAAUAAAAAUAGUAAUGAUAAUGGUCAGGAUAACGGGACAGGUGACAGAGAAGAAGAAGGUGAUGAUAAGAUAAGAAAAAGGAAUAAUGAAAUAAGUAAAAUAUUAAAUAUUAUAUUUUGUUCUUCCAUUCCUAUGAUAGGGUUCGGUUUUAUGGAUCAAAUAAUUAUGAUUCGUUUAGGUGACAUUUUUGAUGCAUCUAUCGGUGUAACUUUAGGUAUAUCUACAUUAGGUGCUGCUUCUUUUGGUCAACUUUGUAGUGAUACUUUUGGUGUUUUUUUUGGUUAUUUUUUAAAUUAUUUAUUACAGAAAUAUAAUUUUAUACGUAUGGCUAAAUUUGACGUGAAAAAUAAAAUUUACCAGUACUGCACUUUAAUUGGUUCAGUUUUAGGGAUUUUAUUGGGUUGUGCUUUAGGGAUGUUACAAUUAAUUUUUAUUGAUACUAGUAAAAGUGAAAGGUUAAAAAAAAAAAAAGAGUUAGAUUUUAUUUUUCAAAUGGUUAUGUACGAUUGUUCAAAUGUAUUAAACUGUGAAACAUCUACAUUAUUUUUAUAUGAUCAAAAAAAAAAUGAAUUAUGGAGUAAAGCUAUAGAUGGUAGGAAAAACAUCAUCAAAAUUUCAGCUAAUAGUAAUGAAAAAAGUUUUUCUUUAUGGGCUUUAAGAAACAAAGAAAUUAUUAAUUGUAAUGACGUGUUGAACCAUGAGUUAUAUAAUCCUUUACAAGAUAAACAAUGUAAUACAAAAACAAGAACUAUUUUAGCUGUACCAAUACUUAAUAGUAAUAAUGAAGUUGUUGGAGUUUUAAUGUUUUUAAAUAAAUUAAGAUCUCAUGGUGGAUACUUUACAACUAAUGAUGAAAAGCUAGCUGAAAUGAUGAGCAAACAUAUAGCUAUCUUUAUGGAAAAAUUUAAUUAUAUAAGUGAAGGAGAUCAAAAAAUGAUUAUUUUUGACAAAGAAGAGGAAGAAGAAGGUGUACAAGAAGAUGAAGAGGAAGAAGAGGAUGAAGAGGAUGAAGAAUAUGAAACAAAUAUGGAGGAAGAAGAAGAAGGAGAAGAUGGUGAUGAAACAAAUGUGGAAGAAGAAAACAGCAUAGGAGAUGUACGAAAUCAAAAAAAUGUAAAAAAAAAAAAAAAAAAAAAAAAAAAAUAAAUAACAAUAAUAAAACAAGCAUUAAAUAUAACUUAGCA